Molecule: long non-coding RNA, 1221 nt
Filed under: Anser cygnoides (Swan goose)
Lineage: Eukaryota; Metazoa; Chordata; Aves; Anseriformes; Anatidae
Description: lncRNA (ENSACDG00005006167.1)
Source: RNAcentral
AUGUCACCAGCCCGUGGCACCCCCCCAGGGCCACACGGUACAGCAGGACCUGGGGGUCUGGCUGUCCUCCAAGGGGCUCCCGUGACUGUCUGCGUGCUGCGGGGUGAGCGGGAGCGGAGCCGCCUGGCCCUGCUCUCCCCAGCGCCGGCUGUCCCACGCUUUAAGGCUGGCGGAAUCUGGUCCUGCUGCCCCCGGCUCUCGGUAGCCACAGCGUGGCUCCUGGGGGGGUGCUUGGGGCUCGCUGCUGCCCGUGGGGGCUCUGGGCAGGGUGGGGGCAGCCACCGAACGGAGCGGGCUGGGCUGUGGGAUCCGGACCACAACGGGGCUGCCCGCCUCUGCUGGGCCCCUCUCGGCGCUGGCCUGGGUACCGAAGGCCCCGUUCGGAGCCGUUCGAGCGUUGCUCACCCUGGGCGAGCGCAAACCUCGGCCCCAACCCUUCCCUGCCCCGGCAGACGCCCGUGGGUGGGUUUCACUCUGCGCUGGGGCGAUCCGAUGCAGUGUUUGCUGUUGACCAUUUCCUUCCUGUUACCCCCUCAAGCUCCGUUUCGGCAACCCCUUCCUUCCUUGCUUCCUUCCUUCUGCCUGCUCCUGCCUCCGCGUGGCCCCGCUCCUCGUGCCACCCCGGCAGGGUGCAGCUGGGGACAGUCGAAGCGUCCGGCCUCGCGUGGCCUCUCCCCUGCCCUUGGGACGUCCCAGGACAGCCACGCUCAGUGCGGGGAGCUCCGGGGUGACCCCCAGAGGCUGCACGCCCUCAGCCACCUCUGUCCCGUCCACUGCUGGACGCGCAGGUGGCAGUGGGGCCGUGUGUCCCAGCAGGUCAGGGCCCCACAUUUUGGGGUGUGGGGUGGGAGAGGUGGAGAUGCCCAUUGGGGUGCUGCGGCUGGAUGUCCGUCCUGCCUCGGGGACAGGGACUGGUGCUGUGCUGGAGCCAGGCCUGGCCCAGGACAUGCCCUGUCCCUAUCCCAUGGGGAAUGGGGGUUUGGGCAUCCCCAGCCAGUGCCAUCACUGGUGGCACCAGCCACGGUGAGGACGGGUGAGGGUCGGUCCAUCGUUCCCGAAGGCCAGCACCCCGCUUCUUCAAUAGCCCCUUGCCCACUGGGUGAACCGAGAGCUCCGCGGGUGGGCACCCCCCGUGCCCCCCAGCUGGGGAGAGCGGCCCUGUGGGGCUGGCGACGGCGUGUGGGAGGUUGCAACACCCCCAGGGUGGGGGGGCCGCGGUGA